GAUGAACGCUGGCGGCGUGCCUAAUACAUGCAAGUCGAGCGAACAGACGAGGAGCUUGCUCCUCUGACGUUAGCGGCGGACGGGUGAGUAACACGUGGAUAACCUACCUAUAAGACUGGGAUAACUUCGGGAAACCGGAGCUAAUACCGGAUAAUAUAUUGAACCGCAUGGUUCAAUAGUGAAGGACGGUUUUGCUGUCACUUAUAGAUGGAUCCGCGCCGCAUUAGCUAGUUGGUAAGGUAACGGCUUACCAAGGCGACGAUGCGUAGCCGACCUGAGAGGGUGAUCGGCCACACUGGAACUCAGACACGGUCCAGACUCCUACGGGAGGCAGCAGUAGGGAAUCUUCCGCAAUGGGCGAAAGCCUGACGGAGCAACGCCGCGUGAGUGAUGAAGGUCUUCGGAUCGUAAAACUCUGUUAUUAGGGAAGAACAAAUGUGUAAGUAACUAUGCACGUCUUGACGGUACCUAAUCAGAAAGCCACGGCUAACUACGUG
RNAcentral lists this ribosomal RNA (497 nucleotides) under uncultured bacterium. Its description in RNAcentral is "partial 16S ribosomal RNA". It matches the Rfam family "Bacterial small subunit ribosomal RNA", at positions 28 to 507 of the family's 1533-position model. The record is from RNAcentral.